Long non-coding RNA from Xenia sp. Carnegie-2017, 559 nucleotides. RefSeq lists it as uncharacterized. The transcript has 3 exons. The record is from RefSeq and is a predicted model, not a curated record. NCBI's taxonomy places the organism in Eukaryota, Metazoa, Cnidaria, Anthozoa, Malacalcyonacea, Xeniidae.
GAAAGAAUUGCUGUACACGUGUACUGCAUGUUUGUUUCACGUGAAUUUCCUUCAUAUGUCAAGUGUGUUCACAUGAUUAUUUAGGUGUAGAAACCGCUGUAGCAUUUACUGUGUGCUCAAUUGUUGUGCGGCCAUUUUGUUUUGUUUGUUGCGCUUGUUGUUUAAAAUUUUGGAAUGUGGAAAAUAUAACAUCAAAAAUAUUCUGAAAAUUGGACUUGUUUAAGGUUCUAUGAUGGUGUCGACACAAAUGUUUCAUGCACCCAAACGGGCUCAUGUAUUGUUGUCGAAAGGCUUAGGAGGAUUUCUUUGGUUCUGGGUGUUAUGGAGAUUAAAACAUGAUUAUCAUGAUAUAAUUGGUCAUCAUCAUGCUUUAGGACCAAUUGAAUUACCUCCAGUUGAAGAUGAGUGAGGAUAUUUUGAUCAUUUUAUCCGUGUUUGCUCUCGGAAAUAUUAAAUUGAACUGUUAACAUAUUUUGGAAAAAAUUUUGAGAUUUACUUUUUGGUGCAGCAGAAAAACUAUUGUAUUCAUUUGUUUUAUUAUACAAUUUUGUCCAAGAAA